RNAcentral lists this transfer RNA (71 nucleotides) under Loxodonta africana (African savanna elephant). It matches the Rfam family "tRNA". From Rfam's summary of the family: Transfer RNA (tRNA) molecules are approximately 80 nucleotides in length. Their secondary structure includes four short double-helical elements and three loops (D, anti-codon, and T loops). Further hydrogen bonds mediate the characteristic L-shaped molecular structure. tRNAs have two regions of fundamental functional importance: the anti-codon, which is responsible for specific mRNA codon recognition, and the 3' end, to which the tRNAs corresponding amino acid is attached (by aminoacyl-tRNA synthetases). tRNAs cope with the degeneracy of the genetic code in two manners: having more than one tRNA (with a specific anti-codon) for a particular amino acid; and 'wobble' base-pairing, i.e. permitting non-standard base-pairing at the 3rd anti-codon position. The record is from Rfam by way of RNAcentral. Lineage: Eukaryota; Metazoa; Chordata; Mammalia; Proboscidea; Elephantidae.
GCAGCGGUGAUUCCAUGGUAGAAUUCUUGCCUUCCAUGCUAGAGACCUGGGUUUGAUUCCCAGCCAACACA